UUGUAGCAAGAACUGUUCACUUGUUUGUCAGUGACAAGUAACAUGCAGUGUUGCCAACUCCUCAGUAAGGAAAGUAGCUAUUGGCUGUCCUAAAAGUCGCUAAAUGACGUCAUCGCCUAAUUUGCAUAAUUGGCCAUGUGCAUGUAAUUGUGAUGGACGCUGUAGGAGAGAGGAAUAACUUCGUGGGAGAGACAAAAAGUGAGUAAAAGACACCCUAAAUAUGUUUAGGCCUACAAAUGAGCAAGCUGCAGAGAGUGGCACACACAGCGAAUAAGAACCAGAUAUUUGAGGCCAUUCCUUCAGCACUUUAUGGACCCCAUUGUUAAUCCCCGUCAUAACAGAGGCAUUGUCAGUCCCUAUCCCCAGGAGUUUCUUUUUUAAGACAACACUUCGAGGAAAGCCACAACAGCACAGGCUAUAGAUUUGGCAUCUCCUCCCUCCAACUCAACAAGCCCCAGAAAUGUUGAUACAAUUGUCUGCUUGGUUUUACUAAAGUAUCUUAUCACAACCCCCAGGUACUUAGAAACACUUACAUCCGUGGACUCAUCGAGGAGGAGGCUGAAACGCUGGUCACCCACAUCUGCGACCAACUUUUUCAGAAAGUAUGGUUGAUCAACAGUGUGUAUGUCACCUGCUGAACCUAAUUGCAACAGAUUCUGCGUUGGCAUAAACAAAUAGUGAUAGCUACAAAAGGUUGUCCAGGCCGUCUUUUGUCAAUGCCAUGUGGAAUAAAAACGGGCUGGUCAACCUUAGCUAAUGAAGUUGUAGAGAAUGAGUGCAAACUGCAGUUGAUCCAUCCAAAACAAGUUGGAAAUCAACUUACCUGGCUGUGGAGAGGAUCACACAUAUCAUACAAGAGAAGGGGGAGGAUGCCAUAAGAAAUGUGAGAAGAAUUAAAAGUGAAAAUGCUGAGCCCGCAGAAAUGUCCUUCUUGAAUGAAUACUGCAAAGUGAUGACGCCUUUGGUCUCAGCUUUGAACAUUCUACAGCCUGAGACUAACACGCAUAUGAGGUGGCUGCUGCCAGUGAUCUUCUUACUAAAAACAAAACUUCAAAGGCGGGAAGCAUCUUGCCAAAUGUGCCUACCACUUAUCAGAGCCAUUCAGAACGGUCUCCAAAAGCUCUUUGGAGAAAUGAUGGAGGAGCCACAGCUUCUUGCUGCUGUAAUCCUUCUUCCAAAGUUCAAGACGUCUUAGACUGACAAAGCUGAUGUCAUCACAGCCGGUUUGGCGUACCUGAACAAUCAUCUUGACACAAUCACUCAGGACGAGACUGAGCAUCUAAGGCAGCAUUCUUCUGAUGAAGAGAAUUUUCUUCUCAUCACUGACAACCAAACGGUCAGAAGGUACAGGGGAGCUGGAUGGGUAUCUUGCUAGUCCAUCGGACAAAAUGGAUUUGCUUCAUUUGUUUCCAUACAUAAAGAAGUUGUCCCUCAAACUCAACACAGACCUGCCUGCAUCUGCCGCCUGUGAGCAUCUUUUUAGCUGUGCUGGACUACUCUUCACUGCAAAGCGAGCCAGGAUAGACUCAAUUAACUUAGAAAAUCAGCUCCCACUGAAACUGAAUGGUAAAUUCAGAGAAGAAAUGAAGUGAGUUAACAUUCGUAUAUGUGAAGUUGAAGAUUUAAUAUUAAAAAUCAGCUGUGGUGGAUCUUA
Salmo salar (Atlantic salmon) is the source of this 1654-nucleotide non-coding RNA. The record is from RefSeq and is a predicted model, not a curated record. NCBI's taxonomy places the organism in Eukaryota, Metazoa, Chordata, Actinopteri, Salmoniformes, Salmonidae.